UACCUGCAGCUCUAGUGGUGGCCGCUAUUAUUGGGCCUAAAACGUCCGCAGCCUGCUUAUUAAAUGCCUAGGUAAAUUGUGUGGCUUAACCAUACGAAUUCUGGGUAGACUGGUAAACUUGAGACCGGGAGAAGCUAGAGGUACUUCUGGGGUAGAGGUGAAAUUCUGUAAUCCUAGGGGGACCACCAGUGGCGAAAGCGUCUAGCUAGAACGGGUUUGACGGUGAGGGACGAAGCCCUGGGGCGCAAACGGGAUUAGAUACCCCGGUAGUCCAGGGUGUAAACGCUGCUUGCUUGAUGUUGGUUGGGCUCCGAGCCCAAUCAGUGUCGGAGAGAAGUUGUUAAGCAAGCUGCCUGGGAAUUACGGUCGCAAGACUGAAACUUAAGGAAUUGGCGGGGAGCACCGCAACGGGAGGAGCGUGCGGUUU
This 427-nucleotide ribosomal RNA is filed under the name uncultured archaeon. Its description in RNAcentral is "bacterial SSU rRNA". It matches the Rfam family "Archaeal small subunit ribosomal RNA", at positions 474 to 903 of the family's 1478-position model. The record is from RNAcentral.